RNAcentral lists this ribosomal RNA (279 nucleotides) under Globigerinoides ruber albus. Its description in RNAcentral is "partial small subunit ribosomal RNA". Lineage: Eukaryota; Foraminifera; Rotaliida; Globigerinidae. The record is from RNAcentral.
GUUUUAAACCUAAUGGCUCUUUCAUGAUUAUAUGAUAGGUGGUGCAUGGCCGUUCUUAGUUCGUGGAGUGAUCUGUCUGCUUAAUUGCGUUUCAAAAUUUAACUUGAGGACCGGGUUUUGGUUUGGCUAGUGGUUCUACGAUGACUGUGAACUGUCAUGUCUUCGGAUGUACGACUAUCGGUCUAGGAUCACAUGACUUGCCCCUGGGACUCUUUUGAACGCCGGACGUGAUUGCAACCCCUUGUUGAAUUAGAGAUAGUCUCGAUAUUCACUGGCCAA